AUUUAAAUAACUUAAAAAGAGUGUUAUAUUGAAGAUAUAAAAGUAAUCAUUAAUGAUUUUUAAAUG
Molecule: transfer RNA, 66 nt
Filed under: Hydropsyche formosana
Lineage: Eukaryota; Metazoa; Arthropoda; Insecta; Trichoptera; Hydropsychidae
Also listed under: 1 other name
Description: tRNA-Phe
Source: RNAcentral